CGGGGGGAGCAAGCGUUGUUCGGAUUUACUGGGCGUAAAGGGCGCGUAGGCGGCCUCUGCAAGUCGACUGUGAAAUCUCCGGGCUUAACCCGGAAAGGUCAGCCGAUACUGCAGGGCUAGAGUGCAGAAGGGGCAACUGGAAUUCUCGGUGUAGCGGUGAAAUGCGUAGAUAUCGAGAGGAACACCUGCGGCGAAGGCGGGUUGCUGGGCUGACACUGACGCUGAAGUGCGAAAGCUAGGGGAGCGAACGGGAUUAGAUACCCCGGUAGUCCUAGCCUUAAACGAUGAAUGCUUGGUGUCUGGGGUUUUAUAGUCCCCGGGUGCCGUCGCUAACGCUUUAAGCAUUCCGCCUGGGAGUACGGUCGCAAGACUG
Molecule: ribosomal RNA, 373 nt
Filed under: uncultured organism
Description: bacterial SSU rRNA
Rfam family: Bacterial small subunit ribosomal RNA
Source: RNAcentral